Molecule: unclassified non-coding RNA, 178 nt
Filed under: fungal sp.
Lineage: Eukaryota; Fungi
Description: partial internal transcribed spacer region
Rfam family: Eukaryotic small subunit ribosomal RNA (bases 1-46)
Source: RNAcentral
AAGUCGUAACAAGGUUUCCGUAGGUGAACCUGCGGAAGGAUCAUUUCCAAAUUUAAAAUGGAAAACUAGAUAGUCUACCUUUGGUUGCUAUCUGUUUUCUAAUAUCAACCUGUUGUAUUGUAUGUCAAAAUAACACUCAAUUAAAACACAACUUUUAACAAUGGAUCUCUUGGCUCUU